UUUGACCCUUGGUUGACCGUGAGUCUCCCAGAGUAAUCUCACCUUUCUAGGGGAGAUUAUCGGGUACUAGACUAUUGUGGAGGGUUACACAAUAUUAGAAUUAAUAUAUAUAUUUAUAAUUAUAAUAUGUUUGUACAAGGGUACAAAAGAGUCUAGAAUGUCAGUUUGGAGUGCUAUACGCACUACCUUAGGUACCUCCCCG
Molecule: long non-coding RNA, 202 nt
Filed under: Prunus persica (peach)
Lineage: Eukaryota; Viridiplantae; Streptophyta; Magnoliopsida; Rosales; Rosaceae
Description: long non-coding RNA (PPER_LNC001507)
Source: RNAcentral